CAGAAAAUAGUUUAAUUUAGAAUAAUGGUUUUGGGUGCUGUUGGUAUGUGGUAUUUUUCUGA
This 62-nucleotide transfer RNA is filed under the name Pseudocellus gertschi. RNAcentral's name for it is "tRNA-Pro". The record is from RNAcentral. Lineage: Eukaryota; Metazoa; Arthropoda; Arachnida; Ricinulei; Ricinoididae.